RNAcentral lists this ribosomal RNA (497 nucleotides) under uncultured bacterium. RNAcentral's name for it is "partial 16S ribosomal RNA". It matches the Rfam family "Bacterial small subunit ribosomal RNA", at positions 28 to 507 of the family's 1533-position model. The record is from RNAcentral.
GAUGAACGCUGGCGGCGUGCCUAAUACAUGCAAGUCGAGCGAACAGACGAGGAGCUUGCUCCUCUGACGUUAGCGGCGGACGGGUGAGUAACACGUGGAUAACCUACCUAUAAGACUGGGAUAACUUCGGGAAACCGGAGCUAAUACCGGAUAAUAUAUUGAACCGCAUGGUUCAAUAGUGAAAGACGGUUUUGCUGUCACUUAUAGAUGGAUCCGCGCCGCAUUAGCUAGUUGGUAAGGUAACGGCUUACCAAGGCAACGAUGCGUAGCCGACCUGAGAGGGUGAUCGGCCACACUGGAACUGGGACACGGUCCAGACUCUUGCGGGAGGCAGCAGUAGGGAAUCUUCCGCAAUGGGCGAAAGCCUGACGGAGCAACGCCGCGUGAGUGAUGAAGGUCUUCGGAUCGUAAAACUCUGUUAUUAGGGAAGAACAAAUGUGUAAGUAACUAUGCACGUCUUGACGGUACCUAAUCAGAAAGCCACGGCUAACUACGUG